This 435-nucleotide ribosomal RNA is filed under the name uncultured Flavobacterium sp. Its description in RNAcentral is "bacterial SSU rRNA". It matches the Rfam family "Bacterial small subunit ribosomal RNA", at positions 358 to 790 of the family's 1533-position model. Lineage: Bacteria; Pseudomonadati; Bacteroidota; Flavobacteriia; Flavobacteriales; Flavobacteriaceae. The record is from RNAcentral.
GGAAUAUUGGACAAUGGGCGCAAGCCUGAUCCAGCCAUGCCGCGUGCAGGAUGACGGUCCUAUGGAUUGUAAACUGCUUUUAUACGAGAAGAAACACUGGUUCGUGAACCAGCUUGACGGUAUCGUAAGAAUAAGGAUCGGCUAACUCCGUGCCAGCAGCCGCGGUAAUACGGAGGAUCCAAGCGUUAUCCGGAAUCAUUGGGUUUAAAGGGUCCGUAGGCGGUCAGAUAAGUCAGUGGUGAAAGUCCAUCGCUCAACGGUGGAACGGCCAUUGAUACUGUCUGACUUGAAUUAUUAGGAAGUAAUUAGGAUAUGUAGUGUAGCGGUGAAAUGCUUAGAGACUACAUGGAAUACCGAUUGCGAAGGCAGGUUACUACUAAUGGAUUGACGCUGAUGGACGAAAGCGUGGGUAGCGAACAGGAUUAGAUACCCUUG